RNAcentral lists this ribosomal RNA (1073 nucleotides) under uncultured bacterium. RNAcentral's name for it is "bacterial SSU rRNA". It matches the Rfam family "Bacterial small subunit ribosomal RNA", at positions 57 to 1123 of the family's 1533-position model. The record is from RNAcentral.
GCAAGUCGGACGGUAACAUGAGGUGCUUGCACUUUGAUGACGAGUGGCGCACGGGUGCGUAACGCGUAUAGAACCUACCCUGUACAGGGGGAUAGCCCAGAGAAAUUUGGAUUAAUACCCCGUGGUAACUAUAAAUGGCAUCAUUUAUAGUUUAAAGUUUUCGGACGGUACAGGAUGGCUAUGCGUCCUAUUAGUUAGAUGGUGAGGUAACGGCUCACCAUGGCAUCGAUAGGUAGGGGCCCUGAGAGGGGGAUCCCCCACACUGGUACUGAGACACGGACCAGACUCCUACGGGAGGCAGCAGUGAGGAAUAUUGGACAAUGGGCGUAAGCCUGAUCCAGCCAUGCCGCGUGCAGGAAGACGGCCCUAUGGGUUGUAAACUGCUUUUAUACGGGAAGAAUAAGGGACACGAGUGUCCUGGUGACGGUACCGUAAGAAUAAGGACCGGCUAACUCCGUGCCAGCAGCCGCGGUAAUACGGAGGGUCCGAGCGUUAUCCGGAAUUAUUGGGUUUAAAGGGUCCGCAGGCGGGCAAUUAAGUCAGGGGUGAAAUGGUACGGCUCAACCGUAGCACUGCCCUUGAUACUGGUUGUCUUGAGUCAUAGUGAAGUGGCCGGAAUAUGUAGUGUAGCGGUGAAAUGCAUAGAUAUUACAUAGAACACCGAUUGCGAAGGCAGGUCACUAACUAUCGACUGACGCUGAUGGACGAAAGCGUGGGGAGCGAACGGGAUUAGAUACCCCGGUAGUCCACGCCGUAAACGAUGGAUACUAGCUGUCCGCUGCCUUGAGCAGUGGGCGGCCCAGCGAAAGUGAUAAGUAUCCCACCUGGGGAGUACGUUCGCAAGAAUGAAACUCAAAGGAAUUGACGGGGGCCCGCACAAGCGGUGGGAGCAUGUGGUUUAAUUCGAUGAUACGCGAGGAACCUUACCAGGGCUUAAAUGCAUAAUGACAGUUCUAGAGAUAGACUUUUCUUCGGACAUUUUGCAAGGUGCUGCAUGGGUUGUCGUCAGCUCGUGCCGUGAGGUGUCAGGUUAAGUCCUAUAACGAGCGCAACCCUGCCGUCAGUUGCCAGCA